UAAGGAAUAUUGCGCAAUGGGCGAAAGCCUGACGCAGCGACGCCGCGUGGGGGAUGAAGGUCUUCGGAUUGUAAACCCCUUUCGGGAGGGAAGAUGGGAUGGGGUAACCCAUUCGGACGGUACCUCCAGAAGCAGCCACGGCUAACUUCGUGCCAGCAGCCGCGGUAAUACGAAGGUGGCAAGCGUUGUUCGGAUUUACUGGGCGUACAGGGAGCGUAGGCGGUUGGGUAAGCCCUCCGUGAAAUCUCCAGGCUUAACCUGGAAAGUGCAGAGGGGACUGCUCAGCUAGAGGAUGGGAGAGGAGCGCGGAAUUCCCGGUGUAGCGGUGAAAUGCGUAGAGAUCGGGAGGAAGGCCGGUGGCGAAGGCGGCGCUCUGGAACAUUUCUGACGCUGAGGCUCGAAAGCGUGGGGAGCAAACAGG
Molecule: ribosomal RNA, 421 nt
Filed under: uncultured Nitrospira sp.
Lineage: Bacteria; Pseudomonadati; Nitrospirota; Nitrospiria; Nitrospirales; Nitrospiraceae
Description: bacterial SSU rRNA
Rfam family: Bacterial small subunit ribosomal RNA
Source: RNAcentral